UGGGGUGUGGCUCAGUGGUAGAGUGCUUGCCCAGGAUGCAUAGGCCCUGGGUUCUAUCCCUAGCACCUCAG
This 71-nucleotide transfer RNA is filed under the name Marmota monax (woodchuck). It matches the Rfam family "tRNA". From Rfam's summary of the family: Transfer RNA (tRNA) molecules are approximately 80 nucleotides in length. The record is from Rfam by way of RNAcentral. Lineage: Eukaryota; Metazoa; Chordata; Mammalia; Rodentia; Sciuridae.